This 253-nucleotide ribosomal RNA is filed under the name uncultured bacterium. Its description in RNAcentral is "partial 16S ribosomal RNA". It matches the Rfam family "Bacterial small subunit ribosomal RNA", at positions 524 to 776 of the family's 1533-position model. The record is from RNAcentral.
UACAGAGGGGGCAAGCGUUGUUCGGAAUUACUGGGCGUAAAGGGCGCGUAGGCGGCCUGCUAAGUCGAACGUGAAAUCCCCGGGCUCAACCCGGGAACUGCGUCCGAUACUGGCGGGCUUGAAUUCGGGAGAGGGAUGUGGAAUUCCAGGUGUAGCGGUGAAAUGCGUAGAUAUCAGGAGGAACACCAGUGGCGAAGGCGCCACUCUGGGCCGUAACUGACGCUGAGGAGCGAAAGCGUGGGUAGCAAACAGG